This 497-nucleotide ribosomal RNA is filed under the name uncultured bacterium. RNAcentral's name for it is "partial 16S ribosomal RNA". It matches the Rfam family "Bacterial small subunit ribosomal RNA", at positions 28 to 507 of the family's 1533-position model. The record is from RNAcentral.
GACGAACGCUGGCGGCGUGCCUAAUACAUGCAAGUUGAGCGAUGAAGAUUGGUGCUUGCACCAAUUUGAAGAGCAGCGAACGGGUGAGUAACGCGUGGGGAAUCUGCCUUUGAGCGGGGGACAACAUUUGGAAACGAAUGCUAAUACCGCAUAAUAACUUUAAACAUAAGUUUUAAGUUUGAAAGAUGCAAUUGCAUCACUCAAAGAUGAUCCCGCGUUGUAUUAGCUAGUUGGUGAGGUAAAGGCUCACCAAGGCGAUGAUACAUAGCCGACCUGAGAGGGUGAUCGGCCACAUUGGGACUGAGACACGGCCCAAACUCCUACGGGAGGCGGCAGUAGGGAAUCUUCGGCAAUGGACGAAAGUCUGACCGAGCAACGCCGCGUGAGUGAAGAAGGUUUUCGGAUCGUAAAACUCUGUUGGUAGAGAAGAACGUUGGUGAGAGUGGAAAGCUCAUCAAGUGACGGUAACUACCCAGAAAGGGACGGCUAACUACGUG